AACCUGAAUGGUUAUUGAUCACCAUAGCACACAGUGAAUCGAGUCGAUAGGAGAGGUUGUCUGAUUUCCGCUUCAUAAUAAAUAAAAAUAAUUAUAAUAAUUUCCAAAAUUCAAUUUCUCAAAAUUCUUAACUCAUAGCAGACUAAUUCAUAAAUAAAAAUGUGUAAAAUGAUGUAAAAUUGCGAUGUUCCCAAGCGGUCUCCAUUUAAAAUAUUCCGAUCAAUGUAGCUUAACCUUGGUGGUCAGGUAAAAAUAAAAACUCCAAGCUAGGAUCUCUUCCAGAUCAAUAAAUCAUUUUUUGCAUUUACCUCAAAUCUUUCUCUUCUCACUCUAAUUUUCCGAGCCAAGGCAAAUUGGGGGGUCGCUACGGCUCUUCACUUGUCUCACUUCAAAACCUCAUAUCCUAUUCCAUCUUUUCUUUCUUUUCUAUCAUUUCAACUUUUCCGAGCCAAGGCAAAUUGGGGGGUCGCUACGGCUCUUCACUUGUCUCACUUCAAAACCUCAUAUCCUAUUCCAUCUUUUCUUUCUUUUCUAUCAUUUCAACCAUUGGUCCCUCGGUACAACUCACUUUCAACUUUUAGGUCUAGCAUGUUUUUUCGCCAUUUUUGAGCCGUCAUUCUUCAGAGGUCGAACACAAUAUGGAAACUUCAAACGCUUAUAACUCAGUUUAUACAAACUUCAGGGCUUCAAAAUUGGUUUCAUUGGUUUCUUCGUAAAAUUUUCUUUUA
This 728-nucleotide long non-coding RNA is filed under the name Bemisia tabaci. RNAcentral describes it as "lncRNA ENSSSA2NGG014369". The record is from RNAcentral. Lineage: Eukaryota; Metazoa; Arthropoda; Insecta; Hemiptera; Aleyrodidae.